AACAACGUCUUUCAAGAAGGAAUAAUUGGUUCAUAAUUUAUGUGCCGAAACGUAGUCCUCAUAGAAUGUCAUAAUUUCAUACUCGAUCCUCAUAAUAAGACCAUCUGACCUCCAAACAAAGGCUAUCUGAAGAUCUAACUAAUAUCAAAAAUGCCAACAACACCGCCGUUAUGCUCAACGAAAGCUUCUCUUCUCGACCUAAGGGCCCAUUUCCUUUCACGUCAAGCCAUUCCAUGAACAACAUGGGCCAGCUCACCAACAUAAAUCUGACACUGCAAAGUGGCAGCAUCCGGUUGUAUCUGAUAGUCUGCAUGUGUUAAAUGAAUAAUUAGUUAUCGUAAUCAUGAGAGGCUGGCACUUAUUGUUUUCAAACAAAAGUAUGUGUUCAAGUAUAAACCACAAACAAACAGUAACACACACUUAAGAGAAGUAACCAUCUUGCAUGAGCACCCGAUCUAAUAGCAUGAGUAUGAAAUGGCAAGUUGGGUCAGUUAGAGGAUAUAAUAGGAACAACCAUAGCAAUCAAUAAAAAAGACCAUAGGAUCAUAUACACCAAAGUGAAUCGUUCUCCCUUCUUAAGAAGAAUAAUCACGUUCAAUUUAAAGAUCAGUGCUUGCAUAGAAUUGUAGUUGGAGAGUAACUUCACUUUUAACAAAUUUAAAGAUUCUAAUUUUCAAAUAAUUCACUUUUUCCAAAAGGCCUCUUCCCACAUGUAACAGACUGACAAUUUACUUUCCAAAAAUAAUUCACUUGUUCCAAUAAUCCACUUUCUCAAGUUCAGCAUAACUAAAAAGGGAUCAGAAGUAUAGAUGACAAAUUCUUGACCUAAACAUAUGUGUAUUAUGUGAUGAUGGAGUAGUGACUCCGUAAAUAGAUUGUUAACAAACUAAAGAGGGAUACAACCUACAUUUUCACUUGUUCUCUGAAGCGAUCCGUAAAUAGAUUGUUAACAAACUAAAGAGGGAUACAACCUACAUUUUCACUUGUUCUCUGAAGCGAUUAACAAUGCAAUUUUUCCAGUCAAAUAAUACAUGGUAAAUCCAAACACAGGUAGGCAAUCUAUGGAACUGAACACGGAUAAACUGGAUUAAGUGGACGUGGUGAUAUGUCCCUGACAGUUAAUGCAGAGAAAUAUUAUGAUGUAUUCCACUUCAUCCUGACUAACAAGCUGAAAAUACAUACCUCGAUCGUGCACUCCCUGUCAGCAUGAGGUGCUACCGCUAAUUACCCCAGUGAACCACUCCAUUCCCAAAGUCAUUUCACAGGAACUACUUGACCUAGCAAAACAAAAAAUACAUCAGCGAAGAUACCAAGUGUGAUGGUCACAAACUCAAAGUUAUUCAAAUCUGGGCAAAUAUGCAUAGAUCAAGUGUAAUUGUACAUCUUCAGAUUUUGUAAAUCUUCUCUUAAUAUACUGAAGCAGCGCUACUGCCUGCCAUCUUCCAAAAAAAGUGCAAGCACACCCAAUGAAGAUCAUGACGGCAUUGGCGGAUGGGUUGACCACUUGACCACCAAAAAUCCCCUGUGCUGCAAGAAUUGUGACAACAAAAAC
Molecule: long non-coding RNA, 1552 nt
Filed under: Triticum aestivum (bread wheat)
Lineage: Eukaryota; Viridiplantae; Streptophyta; Magnoliopsida; Poales; Poaceae
Description: long non-coding RNA (TAES_LNC019688)
Source: RNAcentral